Long non-coding RNA from Prunus mume (Japanese apricot), 781 nucleotides. RefSeq lists it as uncharacterized. NCBI's taxonomy places the organism in Eukaryota, Viridiplantae, Streptophyta, Magnoliopsida, Rosales, Rosaceae. The record is from RefSeq and is a predicted model, not a curated record.
CCAAAUAAAAAAGAGUGAAAAGUGUUUCAUCAAAACGGUUGUCGUGGGGCAUCGUUGCCGCGUUUCGUCCAAAGACGGUCAGAAAGGGUUUCUGUUUACUCAUACCCCACAAACACACACACACACUCUCUCUCUCUCUCUCUCUCUCUCUCUCUCUCUCGACUGUUCUGCUUCUUAGCAGCGAGGACCUUAGAAAUGCUCCAAAAACCUCUAGAUGAUAUUUCUGGGGAAAUUGGAUGCAUGCAGAAAUUGUGCCCCUGAAGGUGAAGGACAUACUGGUCGGAAUCUUUUAGACUCGCGUAAUUUUGGGUCAUUCCUACUGGGUGGUGCCCUAUUGGAGGACAGUUUUGUUUGUCCUUAAUGAAAUGUCAAACUUGGGGCCAUUGGGCCACCGGCAAAACCAAAUUGGCUUUACAAUUUGCGAGCAAUCGGGGGAAGUAGGCUGUACCUUGCUAGGCCUUCCCAAGCUCCCAAAACCACAACCAAUCACUCAAGCCUUCUGCCCUUCGAUUUGCUUUGCUGCCACUGCCUUCUAAUGCCCUCCAAUCAAUGGCACCUUUGAUUUCACUCAGCCAACCAGAUUUAUGACACGUGGCUCUUUUGUGGCCACUGCUAGUGACCCCCCAUGUGAUGAUGUGAAGCAAUAUGCAGGCCCAAUCAUCAGAGGAACAAAGCCAGGUCGCAACGGAUGGAUUGAACAAAUUUCCUUAUCAACGGUGCUUGAUAGAGAAAUUUGAUGUUUAGAAAGUCAUUGGUUUAAUAUGUUUUGUGUUAAUUCAAA